Molecule: ribosomal RNA, 896 nt
Filed under: uncultured bacterium
Lineage: Bacteria
Description: bacterial SSU rRNA
Rfam family: Bacterial small subunit ribosomal RNA
Source: RNAcentral
GUGAAAUGGUGCGGCUCAACCGUAGCACUGCAGUUGAAACUGGACGGCUUGAGUGCAGUUGAGGCAGGCGGAAUUCNNNNUGUAGCGGUGAAAUGCUUAGAUAUCACGAAGAACCCCGAUUGCGAAGGCAGCCUGCUAAGCUGCAACUGACGUUGAGGCUCGAAAGUGUGGGUAUCAAACAGGAUUAGAUACCCUGGUAGUCCACACGGUAAACGAUGGAUACUCGCCGUUGGCGAUAUACAGUCAGCGGCCAAGUGAAAACGUUAAGUAAUCCACCUGGGGAGUACGCCGGCAACGGUGAAACUCAAAGGAAUUGACGGGGGCCCGCACAAGCGGAGGAACAUGUGGUUUAAUUCGAUGAUACGCGAGGAACCUUACCCGGGUUUGAACGCAGUCCGACCGCCGAUGAAAGUCGGCUUCUAGCAAUAGCGGAUUGCGAGGUGCUGCAUGGUUGUCGUCAGCUCGUGCCGUGAGGUGUCGGCUUAAGUGCCAUAACGAGCGCAACCCUUGCCGUUAGUUACUAACAAGUUAUGUUGAGGACUCUAGCGGGACUGCCAGCGUAAGAUGCGAGGAAGGUGGGGAUGACGUCAAAUCAGCACGGCCCUUACGUCCGGGGCUACACACGUGUUACAAUGGGGGGUACAGAAGGCCGCUUCACGGCGACGUGUGGCCAAUCCUGAAAGCCCCUCCCAGUUCGGACUGGAGCCUGCAACCCGGCUCCACGAAGCUGGAUUCGCUAGUAAUCGCGCAUCAGCCAUGGCGCGGUGAAUACGUUCCCGGGCCUUGUACACACCGCCCGUCAAGCCAUGGGAGCCGGGGGUGCCUGAAGUACGUAACCGCGAGGAUCGUCCUAGGGUAAAACCGGUGACUGGGGCUAAGUCGUAACAAGGUAACCA